GACCCGUCUUGAAACACGGACCAAGGAGUUUAACAUGUACGCAAGUCAUUGGGUGGUAAACCCAAAGGCGCAAUGAAAGUGAAGGUUGGCUCUGUCAACCGAGGUAGGAUCCGCUAAGCGGCGCACUACCGUCCCAUCGCAUCUGCUCGUCAGAGCGGUGGAGAAAGAGCGUACACGUUGGGACCCGAAAGAUGGUGAACUANGCCUGAGCAGGAUGAAGCCAGACGAAAGUCAGGUGGAGGUCCGAAGCAGUUCUGACGUGCAAAUCGAUCGUCAGACUUGAGUAUAGGGGCGAAAGACUAAUCGAACCAUCUAGUAGCUGGUUCCUUCCGA
RNAcentral lists this ribosomal RNA (333 nucleotides) under Nematoda environmental sample. RNAcentral describes it as "LSU rRNA". It matches the Rfam family "Eukaryotic large subunit ribosomal RNA", at positions 646 to 964 of the family's 3401-position model. Lineage: Eukaryota; Metazoa; Nematoda. The record is from RNAcentral.